RNAcentral lists this ribosomal RNA (180 nucleotides) under uncultured Glomeromycotina. RNAcentral's name for it is "partial small subunit ribosomal RNA". It matches the Rfam family "Eukaryotic small subunit ribosomal RNA", at positions 653 to 829 of the family's 1831-position model. Lineage: Eukaryota; Fungi; Glomeromycota. The record is from RNAcentral.
GGAUCAAUUGAUUGGUCAUGCCUACGGUAUGUACUAGUCAUAUUGGUUCUCACCUUCUAAUGAACCUUAAUGUCAUUCACUUGAUGUUUUGGGGAAUUAGGACUGUUACCUUGAAAAAAUUAGAGUGUUUAAAGCAGGCUUACGCUUGAAUACUUCAGCAUGGGAUAAUGGAACAGGACU